CAGCCACAUCCCACACAGGGCUCAGAGAUCCGGUCCUGCCCAAGCACCGUUUCCUUAGAACACACGGAUCAGCACACAGAUGGCUCUUCCCGGCACCCUAGGCUGUCAGCUGGCAGGCCCCGCCCCCAUACAACUGGUACCCACUGCUGGAGAUCCUCAGCGCAGCUGGCGCUCGCCCUACAUUUCUAGUGCCCAUUCUGCCCAGGCUGUCGUUGACACCUCACUUUCUGAGCCUCGAAGGACACUGCCCUCCGCAUUCCCCCUCCUCAGUCUCAGACAGGUGGCACGUACCUGCCUCUUCUCCGAAGACGGACGAGUCGAGCCGGGCACAAGCAUGGAGCUGCGGAGCCCCGCCCGGCCAGGAUCUCUCAGGCGACCGAUAUAUGCAGAGAACCACGUGGAGGAAAGGCACGCGAGUUUGGAGGGGGUGGAGCACCUGAAGUGGACCUGAAUAUGACACGACGGGACAGCUGCAAGGAACAUCACACUGUUUUCCUCAGUGGCUGCAUCAUUUUACAUUCCUACCCAUGAUGCACAAGAG
Long non-coding RNA from Balaenoptera ricei (Rice's whale), 541 nucleotides. RefSeq lists it as uncharacterized. NCBI's taxonomy places the organism in Eukaryota, Metazoa, Chordata, Mammalia, Artiodactyla, Balaenopteridae. The transcript has 3 exons. The record is from RefSeq and is a predicted model, not a curated record.